Molecule: ribosomal RNA, 194 nt
Filed under: uncultured bacterium
Lineage: Bacteria
Description: partial 16S ribosomal RNA
Rfam family: Bacterial small subunit ribosomal RNA
Source: RNAcentral
GCAACUCGCCUGCAUGAAGUCGGAAUUGCUAGUAAUCGCAGAUCAGCAUGCUGCGGUGAAUACGUUCCCGGGCCUUGUACACACCGCCCGUCACACCAUGGGAAUCGGUAACACCCGAAGUCGGUAGCCUAACCGUAAGGAGGGCGCCGCCGAAGGUGGGAUUGAUGACUGGGGUGAAGUCGUAACAAGGUAAC